AUCUCAAGAAGGUUAAGAUCUAUUUAGAUGGAAGAAUAGACCAUGUCAUUGCAGAUACAACAUUGAAUCUACCUCUCUCCAUGAGGAAUGGUUUCUUCAACGAUCGCGAAUGGUGAAAUGUUGCUUGAAGGACAUAUGAAUUGAGAGGCUCUGUCGGUGGUGAUAAUGGUAGUGAUGGUGGUAUUUAUUAAAAGUAAGUGGUUAAAAUUAUGUGCUGAUACUGUUUGAUUGCCAGUAAAAUGUUUUCCGUAAAAUAAUUUCUAGAAAAUGGUUUAUUUUUCUGUAAAAUGAUUUACCGGAAAAUAUUUUCUGGUGUUUGAUUGAAUCUGUGUAAAAUAUUUUUUGUUGUUUGGCGAAUUUCCUAAAAGUAUUUUUCGGAAAA
Molecule: long non-coding RNA, 382 nt
Organism: Gossypium raimondii (Peruvian cotton)
Lineage: Eukaryota; Viridiplantae; Streptophyta; Magnoliopsida; Malvales; Malvaceae
Exons: 2
Source: RefSeq, a predicted model, not a curated record